CUCCUCGCUCGAUCCCCUUUGUCCUUCCACGCGCCGCCACCUCUCUCUCUUCCUCUCCCCGAUCUAGAUCGAAGACGGCGGCUACCGCCGAUGGGAUCCCAUCGCAUCCAUCUCCCGCCGAUGGGAUCCCACCGCAUCGCUCUCCCGCCCUCCACCCCACCACAUCAUCUCCCACCGUCCACCCACACCGGCCGUUUCACUCUCUCUCGCACCCUAUCCAGAUCCCGAUCCGCGGCGGUGUCGCCAACAUCUCGGGGCCCUUCGAUCCCACCCAUCCCUUCUGACCCUGAGGCUGCCGGCCAAGGCCUACGGCGGCGAGGGCUGCGCCUACUACGAGUGGAGCCCCGCGGAGCUGCCCAUGCUCGGCGUCGCCUCCAUCGGAUGCCAUGGCAGACGCGGCUGGCAUCGCGCUGGACUGCGCCCGCCCAUCGCCAGCAGCACCACCCGCCCUCUCCCUCCCAUUGACCCACCUACCAGCACCUCCGGCAUGGAGCUCUGCCUCUGCCUCCACCUCCACCGCACGCACUGCCCCCUUCCGCCCCGACGCCGCCUCCAUGCCCAACGGACGUGCUGCUUCCCGCGUCCCGCCGUGGCCGCUGACUGCAGAUUGGUAAAGGACUGCUCCUGUUGCUCCAGGCCAUGCCUCUAAUCCCUUCGUUUUGGCCUGGCGCCCCUGGGGCUGCUUAUUUGCUGGAGUUCCAAUCUGCGCCGCUGGAUUAGAGGGUGGAGCCCGAGCCUCCACUGGAGCAUGGAUCAGACAUUUGUUUGAUCCCGGGCAUCUUCGAGGGCAUCAACGCGACCGUGUUUGCCUAUGGAGCGACGGACAGCGGCAAGACCUACACCAUGCAGUUUAGCCGUGCUUUGCUGCUGCUGCCUGAUCGACGAGCGCUGCUGCGACCCCUACAUCAUCUUCGUCGACUUUGAAAGUGAAGAAAUUGAUGUAACCUUGAAGACUUGUUAUUCAUUCGAAGAACAUGAAGCGUGAAGACUUUUGUUUU
Non-coding RNA from Aegilops tauschii subsp. strangulata, 998 nucleotides. NCBI's taxonomy places the organism in Eukaryota, Viridiplantae, Streptophyta, Magnoliopsida, Poales, Poaceae. The record is from RefSeq and is a predicted model, not a curated record.